Molecule: ribosomal RNA, 208 nt
Filed under: uncultured bacterium
Lineage: Bacteria
Description: partial 16S ribosomal RNA
Rfam family: Bacterial small subunit ribosomal RNA
Source: RNAcentral
CGCGUAGGCGGGGAUACAAGUCAGGUGUGAAAUCUAUGGGCUUAACCCAUAAACUGCACUUGAAACUGUAUCUCUUGAGUGUCGGAGAGGUAGACGGAAUUCCUAGUGUAGCGGUGAAAUGCGUAGAUAUUAGGAGGAACACCAGUGGCGAAGGCGGCUUACUGGACUGAAACUGACGCUGAGGUGCGAAAGCCAGGGGAGCGAACGG